Molecule: ribosomal RNA, 256 nt
Filed under: uncultured bacterium
Lineage: Bacteria
Description: partial 16S ribosomal RNA
Rfam family: Bacterial small subunit ribosomal RNA
Source: RNAcentral
UACGGGGGGAGCAAGUGUUGGUUCGGAUUUACUGGGCGUAAAGGGCGCGUAGGCGGUCAGCACAAGUCAGUUGUGAAAUCUCCGGGCUUAACUCGGAAAGGUCAACUGAUACUGGUGCGACUAGAGUGCGGAAGGGGCAACUGGAAUUCUCGGUGUAGCGGUGAAAUGCGUAGAUAUCGAGAGGAACACCUGCGGCGAAGGCGGGUUGCUGGGCUGAUACUGACGCUGAGGCGCGAAAGCUAGGGGAGCGAACGGG